This 209-nucleotide unclassified non-coding RNA is filed under the name Vishniacozyma victoriae. RNAcentral's name for it is "partial internal transcribed spacer region". The stretch from base 1 to 46 matches the Rfam family "Eukaryotic small subunit ribosomal RNA", at positions 1786 to 1831 of the family's 1831-position model. Lineage: Eukaryota; Fungi; Basidiomycota; Tremellomycetes; Tremellales; Bulleribasidiaceae. The record is from RNAcentral.
AAGUCAUAACAAGGUUUCCGUAGGUGAACCUGCGGAAGGAUCAUUAAUAAUGCCCUCUGACGCAAGUCAUUGGGUUAGAUCUGCUCUCUUCGCAAGAAGAGGGUUUCCAUACACACCGUGAACUGUGGCUUCGGCCAUCACAAACUGUUAGUAAUGAAUGUAAUAUCAUAACAAAAACAAAACUUUUAACAACGGAUCUCUUGGUUCUG